This 49-nucleotide ribosomal RNA is filed under the name Symbiodinium sp. type C1. RNAcentral's name for it is "partial 28S ribosomal RNA". Lineage: Eukaryota; Dinophyceae; Suessiales; Symbiodiniaceae. The record is from RNAcentral.
UAGCAUGAAGUCAGACAAGUGAACCCGCAGAAUUUAAGCAUAUAAGUAA